RNAcentral lists this long non-coding RNA (525 nucleotides) under Homo sapiens (human). Its description in RNAcentral is "long non-coding RNA NONHSAT149777.1". Lineage: Eukaryota; Metazoa; Chordata; Mammalia; Primates; Hominidae. The record is from RNAcentral.
CACCGGGCCGGGGGAGCGGCCGCGCUGGGCCGGGCGGGCGGGUGGCGGGGGUGCGCUCGGGGACCCGGGCCGCGUGGGCGCCGGGAUGGAGGGCGCCAAGGGGCGGGGAGCGGGCGUGCGUGUGUGUGCGAGUGCGAAUGCGAGGGAGGCCGGCCUUGAGUGAAACCGGAGCUACAAAGAAGGGGAGAGUCCGGGAGCGGGAGGGCGCGAGGGAGGAGCGGCGGCGCCGGGGCAGCUCCGACGCCCUCCCGCGGGGAAGGAGCCCCCGCGGUGCCGCCGAGGCCCCGACGCGGGGCCGCCCCUCGGCUCGCCGCCCCGCGCCCGCGCCCGCUGGGAAUGAUGAAGAAGAACAAUUCCGCCAAGCGGGGACCUCAGGAUGGAAACCAGCAGCCUGCACCGCCCGAGAAGGUCGGCUGGGUCCGGAAAUUCUGCGGGAAAGGGAUUUUCAGGGAGAUUUGGAAAAACCGCUAUGUGGUGCUGAAAGGGGACCAGCUCUACAUCUCUGAGAAGGAGGUAAAAGAUGAG